UGUUUGGGAAUGCAGCUCAAAAUGGGUGGUAAAUUUCAUCUAAAGCUAAAUACCGGCCAGAGACCGAUAGCGCACAAGUAGAGUGAUCGAAAGGUGAAAAGGACUUUGGAAAGAGAGUCAAACAGUACGUGAAAUUGUUCAUAGGGAAGCGCUCAAUACCAGAGUCGCGGGAGUCGGAUCAUGGGUCCUUUGGGGCCCUGCACUUCGGCGCCAUGCGGGCCAGCAUCGGUUGAUGCAGCGGGAUAAGAUUGCUGGGAACGUAGCUCGACGUUUGUGGAGUGUUAUAGCCCGGCGAGUGAUACCGCUUGCUUGUUGAUCGAGGAACGCGCCUUUUAGUAGGUGAGGAUGCUGGCAUAAUGGUCUUUAGCGACCCGUCUUGAAACACGGACC
RNAcentral lists this ribosomal RNA (390 nucleotides) under uncultured fungus. Its description in RNAcentral is "eukaryotic LSU rRNA". It matches the Rfam family "Eukaryotic large subunit ribosomal RNA", at positions 271 to 667 of the family's 3401-position model. The record is from RNAcentral. Lineage: Eukaryota; Fungi.